RNAcentral lists this ribosomal RNA (480 nucleotides) under uncultured bacterium. Its description in RNAcentral is "bacterial SSU rRNA". It matches the Rfam family "Bacterial small subunit ribosomal RNA", at positions 28 to 507 of the family's 1533-position model. The record is from RNAcentral.
GACGAACGCUGGCGGCGUGCUUAACACAUGCAAGUCGAACGAUGAAGCGGUGCUUGCACCGUGGAUGAGUGGCGAACGGGUGAGUAAUGCGUGAGUGACCUGCCCCCUUCUUCGGGAUAAGCCUUGGAAACGGGGUCUAAUACCGGAUAUUCCCUUCCUUCUGCAUGGUUGGUUGGGGAAAGUUUUUUCGGUGGGGGAUGGGCUCGCGUCCUAUCAGCUUGUUGGUGGGGUGAUGGCCUACCAAGGCGUCGACGGGUAGCCGGCCUGAGAGGGUGACCGGCCACACUGGGACUGAGAUACGGCCCAGACUCCUACGGGAGGCAGCAGUGGGGGAUAUUGCACAAUGGGCGCAAGCCUGAUGCAGCGACGCCGCGUGAGGGAUGACGGCUUUCGGGUUGUAAACCUCUUUUACUAUUUGAACAAGGCGCCAUAUUGGUGGUGUUGAGGGUAGGUGGUGAAUAAGCGCCGGCUAACUACGUG